RNAcentral lists this transfer RNA (87 nucleotides) under Caldimonas manganoxidans. RNAcentral describes it as "tRNA-Leu". It matches the Rfam family "tRNA". Rfam says of the family: Transfer RNA (tRNA) molecules are approximately 80 nucleotides in length. Their secondary structure includes four short double-helical elements and three loops (D, anti-codon, and T loops). RNAcentral also lists the same sequence under 1 other name. Lineage: Bacteria; Pseudomonadati; Pseudomonadota; Betaproteobacteria; Burkholderiales; Sphaerotilaceae. The record is from RNAcentral.
GCCCGGGUGGCGAAAUUGGUAGACGCAGCAGACUCAAAAUCUGCCGGUGGCAACACCGUGCCGGUUCGAUUCCGGCUCCGGGCACCA